GAUGAAGAACGUAGCGAAAUGCGAUAAGUAAUGUGAAUUGCAGAAUUCAGUGAAUCAUCGAAUCUUUGAACGCACCUUGCACCCUUUGGCAUUCCGAAGGGUAUGCUCGUUUGAGUGUCAUUGUACUCUCACACUCUCCGAUCCUAUUGAUUCGGGGAGCGGUGGACUUGGGUGUUGCUGCCUUUCCUUGUGGCUCACCUCAAAUGUGUCAGUGCACCUCUUGGUUGGACAUAGUACGGCGUGAUAAGUGUCUUCGCCGGCACCUCACUAGAGGGUGGCUGACCGGGAGCUCUGUGCUUCAAACCGUCUUCGGACAACAACUGACAACUUGACCUCAAAUCGAGUAGGACCACCCGCUGAACUUAAGCAUAUCAAUAAGCGGAGGA
This 386-nucleotide unclassified non-coding RNA is filed under the name soil metagenome. RNAcentral describes it as "partial contains 5.8S ribosomal RNA, internal transcribed spacer 2, and large subunit ribosomal RNA". The stretch from base 1 to 120 matches the Rfam family "5.8S ribosomal RNA", at positions 35 to 154 of the family's 154-position model. The record is from RNAcentral.